RNAcentral lists this ribosomal RNA (558 nucleotides) under Triticum aestivum (bread wheat). RNAcentral's name for it is "partial small subunit ribosomal RNA". The record is from RNAcentral. Lineage: Eukaryota; Viridiplantae; Streptophyta; Magnoliopsida; Poales; Poaceae.
AUGGUGGCCACCUCGCCUCGGGAGCGGAGCCGCCAAGGGUGUAAAAAGAUGGAAAAGAUGAUGGUGGUAAACAAAGCAGGCGGCAGAGCACAAGAGAGCACCAAAGCCAGAGAGAGACCAGAGAGAGAGAGAGAGAGAGAGAGGACUACUCUUCUCGCAGCCGCUCGCGGGCGCACACAGUGUGAAGGGGAGGGCGCAGCAGCAGGCAGGCAGCUAGCGGACAAAGCCGAUCUCGUCGUCUACCCGAGGCCGAGGAGCCGCACUGACAGCUGGGCUCCUCCAGCGCGCCGCGCGACGUCACGGCUCGAUGGUUGCCCUCGCGCUGGCGGCGCGGAGGAGGAGGGGAGGCGGCGCUCCGGCGGCGGCGGCGGUGAGGAGGGGCGGCGGCGGUCUCCGCGCGAAGCAGGCCGGCCGGGCCGGCUGCCGCGGCGCCUAAGAUACCGUUCAUUCACUCUGCUGCUGCUACCUCUCGCACUCGCUCGCUCGCUCACCCACCUCCUGCUUCUCUCCUCUCGUCCUCGCGCCGGCGGCGGCGGGCCUCUGCAGCCGGCGUGCUAG